AGAGUUUGAUCCUGGCUCAGGAUGAACGCCGGCGGUGUGCCUAAUACAUGCAAGUCGAACGCGUUGGCCCAACUGAUUGAACGUGCUUGCACGGACUUGACGUUGGUUUACCAGCGAGUGGCGGACGGGUGAGUAACACGUAGGUAACCUGCCCCAAAGCGGGGGAUAACAUUUGGAAACAGAUGCUAAUACCGCAUAACAAUUUGAAUCGCAUGAUUCAAAUUUAAAAGAUGGCUUCGGCUAUCACUUUGGGAUGGACCUGCGGCGCAUUAGCUUGUUGGUAGGGUAACGGCCUACCAAGGCUGUGAUGCGUAGCCGAGUUGAGAGACUGAUCGGCCACAAUGGAACUGAGACACGGUCCAUACUCCUACGGGAGGCAGCAGUAGGGAAUCUUCCACAAUGGGCGCAAGCCUGAUGGAGCAACACCGCGUGAGUGAAGAAGGGUUUCGGCUCGUAAAGCUCUGUUGUUAGAGAAGAACGUGCGUGAGAGCAACUGUUCACGCAGUGACGGUAUCUAACCAGAAAGUCACGGCUAACUACGUGCCAGCAGCCGCGGUAAUACGUAGGUGGCAAGCGUUAUCCGGAUUUAUUGGGCGUAAAGCGAGCGCAGGCGGUUUGAUAAGUCUGAUGUGAAAGCCUUUGGCUUAACCAAAGAAGUGCAUCGGAAACUGUCAGACUUGAGUGCAGAAGAGGACAGUGGAACUCCAUGUGUAGCGGUGGAAUGCGUAGAUAUAUGGAAGAACACCAGUGGCGAAGGCGGCUGUCUGGUCUGCAACUGACGCUGAGGCUCGAAAGCAUGGGUAGCGAACAGGAUUAGAUACCCUGGUAGUCCAUGCCGUAAACGAUGAAUGCUAGGUGUUUGGAGGGUUUCCGCCCUUCCGUGCCGCAG
This 889-nucleotide ribosomal RNA is filed under the name uncultured bacterium. RNAcentral describes it as "bacterial SSU rRNA". It matches the Rfam family "Bacterial small subunit ribosomal RNA", at positions 8 to 851 of the family's 1533-position model. The record is from RNAcentral.